UGGUGGCGACCGGCGCACGGGUGAGUAACGCGUAUGCAACCCCCUUAUCAGAGGGGAAUAACCCGGCGAAAGUCGGACUAAUACCGCAUAAAACAGGGACACCGCAUGGUGAUAUUUGUUAAAGAAAUUCGCUGAUAGAUGGGCAUGCGUUCCAUUAGGUAGUUGGUGAGGUAACGGCUCACCAAGCCGACGAUGGAUAGGGGAACUGAGAGGUUGGUCCCCCACACUGGUACUGAGACACGGACCAGACUCCUACGGGAGGCAGCAGUGAGGAAUAUUGGUCAAUGGGCGAGAGCCUGAACCAGCCAAGUCGCGUGAAGGAAGAAGGAUCUAUGGUUCGUAAACUUCUUUUGCAGGGGAAUAAAGUGCAGGACGUGUCCUGUUUUGUAUGUACCCUGAGAAUAAGGAUCGGCUAACUCCGUGCCAGCAGCCGCGGUAAUACGGAGGAUCCGAGCGUUAUCCGGAUUUAUUGGGUUUAAAGGGUGCGUAGGUGGUUUGAUAAGUCAGCGGUGAAAGUUUGCAGCUUAACUGUAAAAAUGCCGUUGAAACUGUCGGACUUGAGUGUAAAUGAGGUAGGCGGAAUGCGUGGUGUAGCGGUGAAAUGCUUAGAUAUCACGAAGAACUCCGAUUG
This 631-nucleotide ribosomal RNA is filed under the name uncultured Bacteroidales bacterium. RNAcentral's name for it is "bacterial SSU rRNA". It matches the Rfam family "Bacterial small subunit ribosomal RNA", at positions 86 to 715 of the family's 1533-position model. RNAcentral also lists the same sequence under 1 other name. Lineage: Bacteria; Pseudomonadati; Bacteroidota; Bacteroidia; Bacteroidales. The record is from RNAcentral.